AACUAUCACCGUGUCACGUUACUAACAAGAACACACAUCCUUAACCGCAAAAAGGUAAACAAACAAGUGGUAUUAAAUCCGUUGGUGCCCCGAGGGACGUCUAAGAGGCACCACCCAUCAUCAACGGCCGGAAUCAACUCUAUAGCUACUACAUCUUCCCCAUUACGAUUAGUUUAGUAAGCGUACAUUUAAUAGAUCAAAGCAGCGAAGGACAACUACAGACGCCUGAUAAGUUAACGCAUGGCAUAAGCAAAUAAUAAAAAGGUACAAAUCGGGACCACAAACGCUUCUGCAGAAAUCAUUUUGUGGGGCUUUUAGCCUGCCGGCAUGUGUG
Non-coding RNA from Drosophila suzukii, 334 nucleotides. The record is from RefSeq and is a predicted model, not a curated record. Lineage: Eukaryota; Metazoa; Arthropoda; Insecta; Diptera; Drosophilidae.